This is a long non-coding RNA of Columba livia (rock pigeon), 4322 nucleotides long. RefSeq lists it as uncharacterized. Lineage: Eukaryota; Metazoa; Chordata; Aves; Columbiformes; Columbidae. The record is from RefSeq and is a predicted model, not a curated record. The transcript has 2 exons.
GACCCCUCAGUCUCCUCUUCUCCAGGCUCCAGAGCCCCAGCUCCCUCAGCCUUUCCUCACACGGGAGAUGCUCCACUCCCUUCAGCAUCUUUGUUGCCCUACGCUGGACUCUCUCCAGCAGUUCCCGGUCUUUCUUGAACUGAGGGGCCCAGAAAUGGACACAAUAUUCUGCUUUUCCUCAGCUUUUGUAUAGCAUUUGUGCUAUCUCAGCACCUUGCACAUCUGAAAGCUGACAGCUCUGCAGAGAUCUCUCCUUGCUGCUGUUACGGAUGUCUCAGCACACCGUUCUCUGGCAUGUGAGAUGGCUCUGGGCAUCCAUGGGGUGUGGGUCACCACACCAGAACCCAGCUACAGAGGGCACCGUGGGGUGUUUCAUCCCACUGAGAUGAAUUGAUAAGGCCACAGACACUUGCAGGUGUGAAGUCUCCCUCAUUUUGAGGUCCCACUGGUGAACUUCAUCUACUUGCAUGAAUUAAUCAUGCAUCUUCCAUGACUCCUGAAUAACAGGAAUCCUCUUCUUCAAAUUCCAAAAAAGACAGUAAGACAGGUCAUGCGUGUUGGCCUCUCCACUGAAGUCUUCUUGAUAAAGCUUUGAUUAUCACCCAUGGCAAUCUCCCCAUCAAGUCCUUCUGGGGAAGAGUGUUUCGGCUGCCAAUUGUUCAAAGAGUGCUUGUAGCAUCAUUAGUUAAAACCCACAGGGAAAAGUGAAAAUAACAUGCCUGCAAUUUAACUUUAUGUAGCUGGGAACCGACACAGAUGUGGACGUGGUGCCGUUAAGAAGCCGUGCGGAGCUGCCGGCACCUGGUACAGGGUUAUCGGCCCAUUGUGGCCUGGUCUCAGCACCGGCCAACAAAGCCAAUGGGAGGGGGAAUUCGCUUGUCAUCCAUUGGGUUAUACCUGAUUUAUGGUCCCGCUCAUUGACUUCAGAAGUCUCGCAGUGGCAAGCUGCAUUGUCUUAACUUCGCAUUUGUAGAUUAUCCACACCACAGAGUUAUAAAUCCUUCUGAGCACCGCCUGCUUCUAAGGCCUAAUUAUAUUGUCAGCGAUAGGGUCUGGAGCGGGAGUGUAUGUGCUACAAUGCUCUGCCGGCCGUGAGUUCAGGAGACAUUCAUAGAGGCAUUUUAUCAGUCAAUUUCAUGAGACAUUAAUUAAUGAGAUACUUCAAUUAGAUCAUUUCUGUCACUAGGAAGGAGUUAUUCUUCAUGGUCAAGAUUACAUCAUCUUAAUUAGUCCCUCUCCAAGUAAUUUGCUUCUUUUCAAGCCCCGAAGAAGGGUACAUUCAUUAUAGAUAAUUAAUAUUCAAGUUAAUUGACUGUACCCUACAAUUCAUGGAGCCCCUUUGAAACAGAUUUUCUAGUUAGGCAUCGGAAAGGGCUGUUAAAGUUGCACUGCACAGUCCUGCAGAAGGCUUCUCAAUCAUCCAGGGGACCAAAUUAUUAUUAUCAACCCCAGGCCUGCCUUAGCCACUCCAGUUAAUACUCACAAUAGAGUGCCCAUUCUGAGCAACUACUGUGUAGAUACAAAAGUUGAGAUCAGAAGGUUAGGCUAAAUCUCUUCUAUUUAUGUACACACUAUGCAGGGAAUCUAUUUUUUGUUAGCACACACAUUCUUCACAGCAAAAUUACUUUGAUUUCACUAUUUCAGUUUUAAAAGGGAAAUUUUACAGCAAGCCAAUCAGGAAUAACAGACACUUGAAGCUCAGGUGCUCUGUUUGUUUAUUCUCUCCAAAGAAAGGUCAUGCAAUAUUAAUGUUUUGUCUUUUAAUGUUGCAAAUAAUCCACAGAAAACACCAUAUCCCACUAAGAGUAGUACAUUUAAUGUAAAAGCUCUGUGUUGUAUACAAAUGCUGUGGUAUAUAUUUUCUUUCCUAGUAUUUGUACUUAAGUUUUUACGUUUGACUUAAGUCAAAACUUGAUUUUUCUCUGUCCUAUUUCAGACUACAGGAGUGAUCUCAUAUUUGAAAAUGCUGCCAAUCUAAGGUCUCAGAAGCUGGAAACUCCAAUGCAAGGCUGAGAGGUCCAUGGGCUUUGGAGAACCAAGCAGACACUGACUUUGGACAGUCUGGAUCCAAGGUCCUGCAGUUCUGCCAAGAUGAACUGGAAAUUUGAGAGCUGUUUGGGAUGGGAACAGCUUCCUGACAUGACGGUUUGCCAGACAUAGGGCAAGAGGCAGAAAUCAGAAUUUUUUUAAGUGACUGAUCAGUUCUGACAACAUGGGGCAAGUUAAUAACAGAUUUUGCUGCAACUUGCCAUCAGACAACCGUACUUCUGCAUGUCUUCAUGGUACAGUACAGUGCACUCUUGCAUAGCAGUGUGGUGGGUUUUGCCCAGCUAAGCAUUUCUUUGUUAAUAAUCUCCAGCUUUUCACAAGAAAACUUCUUUUAAUUAGGGUUGUCUUAUCUAUUUGGACUAUUGCCCAUCGUUCUAGCGUCUGGUGUUUGCUUUGUAGGUACAGACCAUUGCUGGCACUCGCAGAAAGAAGUUUUUUUCCUGGUCUCUGAUGAGGCUUAGAGAAGAGCAAUCGCAGCCCAAAUCUGCAGUCAGAGAAACAUGAGUCAUUUCCAUAUGGUGCUUUGAGUCUGAUGGGCUGCAAGAAGAGGGAAAAAGGGAAAUGCUCCCUGAGCGUGGCCAUGGGAGCUGAGGUCACAACCUGGUGGGACGUUUUCAAGGAGCACUGAAAAUACCUGUCAUCUGCAUUGUGGAGAAAUUAUUUUCAAGCUUUUUUUCCCCUCCUUUUUUCUCUUUUUGCCUCUUCUGUCUUUCAUCCUCUCCUUUUCAUUUUCAAUUUCAGCCACUUAUCUUCAGAUAUUUUUGAAAUGGCUGGGGAAAAAAGGAGGCAAAAAUGAAGCUGACAUAAGGGAAAUUGAAGUGUGGGGAAAAAACACAGCAGCUUACUCUAGACCUUGUUUAAUGAAAAAUAAUUAGAAAAUUUCAAAACACUCUGCAAACUGCGAUCCCAUUUUCUCUUUAUUCAUGAUGGACAAAAACUUGAAGCUUCGGUUUCCCAUGAUAAAAGCAAGCAAUAUUUUUUUUAAUCACUUUUUUUCCCCCCAUUAAUGCCUUGGAGAGCAUUUACAUCUGAAGUAGACACAAUAUUCAGAGCUAUGCAUUCUUUAGAACUCUUUUCAUCCUGCUUCCCCAGCAUGGUUGACAUUUACCUCCAUGACCUCCGUCCUCUCUUGGUGGGCACAGUGCUAAAGCCAUUUGCUGAAGCUACUAAUGAAGUGGUGCUGACUCAUGGAAGGAGACAACUUGUGUUCAUAUCCUGUUCUCCAUCACAAGGAACUGCUGGUGGGACUGGUCAUGCCAGGUCUUUUUGGUUUGGAAAGCAGACAACAGUGAGGGAAUAAAUUUGAAGGCGCCAAAAUAAAGAAUGGAAAGUAGAAAGCAAAGAGUGAAGAAUUAGUCACAUUUUCUCAAAAUGCAAGACCUACCUUGAGCCAAUGAAAUUAUCAGGUGACAUACCUGAAACAACCAAAAGACAGUAUUUUCCACCUAAUAAGCUAUGAAACUUGUUGCCACUGGAUGCUGCAGAGAACAAAUGUUUAAGUAUACUUAAAAAUACCUGAACAGUUAUGAAGAAUAGCAUUACCGGUACCCAUUGAACAUGAUGGAUCAUGCCCAAGUUUCAGCUCAGAAAGCCCUGAGCUACCAACUGACAAGCUGGAGGGGUAAACCAGAUUACAAUAUGUUUAUUCCAGACUUUCUAUUCCUCUUUCCACCUCUACUUUCAGUGAUAGGAUGGACCUUUCAUGUGUUGGAGUUUAUUGGGUUUUCUGUACAAACAUGCCAUUCCCCAGCCAAGUUACACUUGGAUUCUCUUAAUUAAAAAUUGAGGAUGAAUUAGCUGAAUCAGUAGGUAACUCUAAACCAUUGAGUAAAUACAAAUAUUUACCUCCCAGAUAUCCACCUGAAGCUCUGUCAAUGCACCAAGUGCUGUGGCAGGAAAAGCAGUUUUAUUCUUGACUUUUUUAAGCUCUUGGGUAAAACAUUUUUUCUCCAAUUAUUUUCUUUUCUCACCUGUGUUGGUUCUGGACUGUUUAGAGCAGAAUUUCUUCAAAAACCUACAUGUCUUCCACUGUUAGUACAAAGCCUAGUACCAUGGAUCUUUCACCUUCUUGAGGUCUCUAGGUUCUUCUUUAAUACAAGCAAAUGAUUAUAAUUUCUAUAAACUACAGCAUCUUCAAUUAGGUCUUGAUAAAUUUCUUCUGGUAAAUCAGAGCUUGUAAUAAAAUCAGUCUUUGGUCUUACUGAGUGAAGAGCAAAGUUCUCUUUUUUAUGCUAUUUCCCUGCUUUCUCCUUUGAAUAAAGUGGAAAACAUGU